This 584-nucleotide long non-coding RNA is filed under the name Ananas comosus (pineapple). RNAcentral's name for it is "long non-coding RNA (ACOM_LNC009850)". Lineage: Eukaryota; Viridiplantae; Streptophyta; Magnoliopsida; Poales; Bromeliaceae. The record is from RNAcentral.
AUUUUUAUAAAAUUAACAAGUCAUAGGUGCAGAUAGAUUUUCGGCCUUUAGAUAAUGAUCUUCUAAAAUUAAGUAAGUGGUUGAUUGAAUAGUAUAAUCUAACAAAUAAAAAUAAUUAAAAUAAUAAAUAUAAUAGUAAAAAAUUUAUAAGUAAUAAAUAUUUUUAUCUUUUAAGUUUCUGUUUGGUUCGGGGUUAAGGGGUCAGAUAACCCCUUAAUCCCGGUUUUAUUUCCAAACAUAAUUUUAGUGGGGUGGGGUUAGCUAACCCUCUAACCCCACCCUAAAUGGGCUAAUCCGGAAUAAUCCAUUUAGAGUGGGAUUAGCUAGGGUACAGCUAACCCCACCCCACCCCACUACUCCAACCAAAUAAAAUACUAUUUUAUCCACUAUUCUUUUUAUCCCAUCUAGUCCAAUCAAAUAUUAUUUUUUUUUAAUUCUGGACUAACUCUAAUUCUCAACCAAACACAAAAAUACUAUAACCCUACCUUAAUUCUGAACUUAAUUUUAUUUUUGAAGUAACUAAUUUUUUUCUUAAUCCCGAACCAAACGGUAGCUAAAAGCAUCAUAGUCCAAAAUUUAUAUAC